This 73-nucleotide transfer RNA is filed under the name Loxodonta africana (African savanna elephant). It matches the Rfam family "tRNA". From Rfam's summary of the family: Transfer RNA (tRNA) molecules are approximately 80 nucleotides in length. Their secondary structure includes four short double-helical elements and three loops (D, anti-codon, and T loops). The record is from Rfam by way of RNAcentral. Lineage: Eukaryota; Metazoa; Chordata; Mammalia; Proboscidea; Elephantidae.
GGGUGGUAGGUAUAGUGGUUAAAGCAUUUGGCUGCUAACCAAAAAGUUGGUGGUUUGAAACCAACAGCCCCUC